AAUGCAUCUUUUCAAAACCGGAGAUUCUUUAAUCCACAUGUUUAUCCACAUUUUCAUUUCAGGUAUACCAAAAUGAAUACAUGUUUGACACCAUUUCCUGAAGUAACCGACGUAAAAGAUGUUAGUGGUGGAGGAUUAACUAAUAGGCCUGAGAGACUAACAACAACUCCACCAAGGAUUAACAGUAGAAGUUUGAAAGAAAUCACAGCUGAGAUGUUCUCUCAAUCUCCGCCGCACUACCUUCUCCGUGACCUUCUCUCACUUGCACAAAGAAUAUAAGUUCAUGUGUAAAGAACCAUAAAUCGAUCAAAAGAUUAGUUUCAUUCACAACACAUAAAGACAGAAGAAUAUUCAAAGAGGUGGUUUCAAUUUAUAGAGAGGAUGGUUUUUACUAUAUUCAAUAUAAGAAGAUUAUUAUGGAAGAGAUAUUUGAGAGGAGUCAUAGUCGUGCAUCUCUUUUGAAAGUGGAUAUACAAGUUUUUUUUAUUAAAUUUAUUUUAUAUAUUUGAGGAUGUUAAACUCUUAACCAUUGAGUAUGUAAUUUAUGGAGACAUAUGGAUUAGUUGAAUUGUAGUUGGAAUUAUGUUGUUCUAACCAUAAAUGGAUAGACUAGUAUGUUAGAACAAUAUUUGUCUA
Lathyrus oleraceus (garden pea) is the source of this 636-nucleotide long non-coding RNA. RefSeq lists it as uncharacterized. The record is from RefSeq and is a predicted model, not a curated record. Lineage: Eukaryota; Viridiplantae; Streptophyta; Magnoliopsida; Fabales; Fabaceae. The transcript is spliced from 2 exons.